This 484-nucleotide ribosomal RNA is filed under the name uncultured bacterium. RNAcentral describes it as "partial 16S ribosomal RNA". It matches the Rfam family "Bacterial small subunit ribosomal RNA", at positions 30 to 507 of the family's 1533-position model. The record is from RNAcentral.
AUUGAACGCUGGCGGCAGGCCUAACACAUGCAAGUCGAGCGGAUGAAGGGAGCUUGCUCCUGGAUUCAGCGGCGGACGGGUGAGUAAUGCCUAGGAAUCUGCCUGGUAGUGGGGGAUAACGUCCGGAAACGGGCGCUAAUACCGCAUACGUCCUGAUGGAGAAAGUGGGGGAUCUUCGGACCUCACGCUAUCAGAUGAGCCUAGGUGGGAUUAGCUAGUUGGUGGGGUAAAGGCCUACCAAGGCGACGAUCCGUAACUGGUCUGAGAGGAUGAUCAGUCACACUGGAACUGAGACACGGUCCAGACUCCUACGGGAGGCAGCAGUGGGGAAUAUUGGACAAUGGGCGAAAGCCUGAUCCAGCCAUGCCGCGUGUGUGAAGAAGGUCUUCGGAUUGUAAAGCACUUUAAGUUGGGAGGAAGGGCAGUAAGUUAAUACCUUGCUGUUUUGACGUUACCAACAGAAUAAGCACCGGCUAACUUCGUG